UACGUAGGGUGCAAGCGUUGUCCGGAAUUAUUGGGCGUAAAGGGCUCGUAGGCGGUCUGUCGCGUCGGGCGUGAAAACUCAGGGCUUAACCCUGAGCCUGCUUCCGAUACGGGCAGACUAGAGGUAUGCAGGGGAGAGCGGAAUUCCUGGUGUAGCGGUGAAAUGCGCAGAUAUCAGGAGGAACACCGGUGGCGAAGGCGGUUCUCUGGGCAUUACCUGACGCUGAGGAGCGAAAGUGUGGGGAGCGAACAGG
This 253-nucleotide ribosomal RNA is filed under the name uncultured bacterium. Its description in RNAcentral is "partial 16S ribosomal RNA". It matches the Rfam family "Bacterial small subunit ribosomal RNA", at positions 524 to 776 of the family's 1533-position model. The record is from RNAcentral.